GUGUGUGUGUGUGUGUGUGUGUGUGUGUGUGUGUGGAAUAUGUGUCUGUAAGUGUACAGUGUGUGUGCUGGUGCAGGGGGUUCAGACUGGGGAUCAGAUGAGCACAAAACAAGAUAUGUAAUGCUCAAUGAUGAAUUGAUUAGAGAAAGAGGGGGUGUGUUUAACAGUAGAGAGUGUAGGAAAUGAUAGUAGUAGAUGGUAGUAGUAGACGAUAGUAGUAGGUGAUAGUAGCAGGUGACAGUAGUAGAUGAUAGUAGUCGGUGAUAGUAGUAGAUGAUAGUAGUAGAUGAUAGUAGUAGGUGAUAGUAGUAGGUGAUAGUAGCAGGUGAUAGUAGUAGAUGAUAGUAGUAGAUGAUAGUAGUCGGUGAUAGUAGUAGAUGAUAGUAGUAGAUGAUAGUAGUAGAUGAUGGCAGUAGAUGAUAGUAGUCGGUGAUAGUAGUAGAUGAUAGUAGUAGACGAUGGUAGUAGAUGAUAGUAGUAGACGAUAGUAGUAGGUGAUAGUAGUAGAUGAUAGUAGUGGGUGAUAGUUGUAAGUGAUAGUAGUAGAUGACAGUAGUAGGUGAUAGUAGUAGGUGUUAGUAGUAGAUGAUAGUUGUCGGUGAUAGUAGUAGAUGAUGGUAGUAGAUGAUAGUAGUAGGUGAUAGUAGUAGAUGAUAGUAGUAGAUGGUAGUAGUAUAUGAUAGCAGUAGGUGAUAGUAGUAGGUGAUAGUAGUAGGUGAUAGUAGUAGGUGAUAGUUUUAGGUGAUAGUAGUAGGUGAUAGUAGUAGAUGAUAGUAGUCGGUGAUAGUAGUAGAUGAUAGUAGUAGACGAUGGUAGUAGAUGAUAGUAGUAGACGAUAGUAGUAGGUGAUAGUAGUAGAUGAUAGUAGUGGGUGAUAGUUGUAAGUGAUAGUAGUAGAUGACAGUAGUAGGUGAUAGUAGUAGGUGUUAGUAGUAGGUGAUAGUAGUUGACGAUAGUAGUAGAUGAUAGUAGUAGACGAUAGUAGUAUGUGAUAGUAGUAGGUGAUAGUAGUAGAUGAUAGUAGUAGGUGAUAGUAGUAGGUGAGAGUAGUAGAUGAUAGUAGUAGACGAUAGUAGUAGAUGAUAGUAGUAGGUGAUAGUAGUAGAUGACAGUAGUAGAUUAUAGUAGUCGUGAUAGUAGAAAGUGAUAGUUGUAGGUGAUAGUAGUAGGUGUUAGAAGUAGGUGAUAAUAGUAGAUGAUAGUAGUAGAUGAUAGUAGUAGGUGAUAAUAGUAGAUGGUAGUAGUAGAUGAUACUAGUAGAUGAUAGUAGUAGUUUAUAGUAGUCGGUGAUAGUAGUAGAUGAUAUGAGUAGAUGAUAGUAGUAGAUGAUAGUAGUAGGUGAUAGUAGUAGGUGAUAGUAGUAGGUGAUAGUUUUAGGUGAUAGUAGUAGGUGAUUGUAGCAGAUGAUAGUAGUAGGUGAUAGUAGUAGGUGAUAGUAGUUGACGAUAGUAGUAGAUGAUAGUAGUAGACGAUAAUAGUAUGUGAUAGUAGUAGGUGAUAGUAGUAGAUGAUAGUAGUAGGUGAUAGUAGUAGGUGAGAGUAGUAGAUGAUAGUAGUAGACGAUAGUAGUAUGUGAUAGUAGUAGGUGAUAGUAGUAGAUGAUAGUAGUAGGUGAUAGUAGUAGGUGAGAGUAGUAGAUGAUAGUAGUAGACGAUAGUAGUAGAUGAUAGUAGUAGACGAUAGUAGUAGGUGAUAGUAGUAGGUGAUAGUAGUAGAUGAUAGUACUAGAUGAUAGUAGUAGAUGAUAGCAGUAGAUGAUAGUAGUAAGUGAUAGUAGUAGAUGAUAGUAGUAAGUGAUAGUAGUAGAUGAUAGUAGUGGGUGAUAGUAGUAGGUGAUAGUAGAAGAUGAUAGUAGUGGGUGAUAGUAGUAGAUGAUAGCAGUAGAUGAUAGUAGUAAGUGAUAGUAGUAGAUGAUAGUAGU
RNAcentral lists this long non-coding RNA (1921 nucleotides) under Salmo salar (Atlantic salmon). Its description in RNAcentral is "lncRNA (ENSSSAG00000121331.1)". The record is from RNAcentral. Lineage: Eukaryota; Metazoa; Chordata; Actinopteri; Salmoniformes; Salmonidae.